CAGAGCCAAGCCAGUGCAGAGUCGGGGAGGAAUCCAGUCCUGAAUAUUUGACCUGGCAACAGCUGCUUGCAUGGAGACAUCUCUCUCUCUCUCUCAGCAGCUGCAACUGCCUGGAAGCCUGAGAUGUGACUCCAGGGAGGCAAGAUUCCUCAAUUGUAAAAAAAAUCCACAGGAAUGGCGCUACGUGUGUCUUCAGAGCUCAAGGUGGCGUACAAACGUGGUUCUCCUCCCUCUUCAUUUUAUCCUCACAACAACCCUGUGAGGUAGGUUAGGCUGAGAGACUGUGACCGGCCGAGAUCACCCAGCAAGCUUCAUGGCUGUGUAGGGAUUUGAACUCUGGUCUCCAAGGUCCUAAUCCAACCCUCUAACCACUAUACCACUCUGGCUAUUAAUACUCCAUCGACCUAUGCCAUGUAUGCGCCUGAAGACCCCCAAAGGAGUUAACAUAUCUAUUUAACCUGGACCUGGACACCAGCUGUCAGCAUGACCCAGGGAUGCAACUUGAUACUCCACCUACGCCAGGCCACCACCUACGCCUCUUGCGGUGGAGAGCGCCAAGCUGGGCUGGAGCUGGAGCUGGGCUGCGGCCUUUCAGCAGGCCUGGUGCUGCAGCCUGUCCUCAGGAGAUGCCUCUUUGUUGUGAUGAUCUUUCGGCAGCUUCUGAGGGCUGGGAAGUGCCCCUGCAGCUGCCAGCAUCCUACCAUCUGGCCUUCAUCCAUUUCGCCUUGAUAUCGGCUGCGCUUUCACCCUGGCUCCUUCACCUCAGCUUCUUUGAGAAGAACUUCCCUGUUAGUUUUGACUUCGAGGGGCCUGUUUAUCCCGCCCUUCUCCCUGUUGGAGCUGCUGGAUGUUAAGAUCAAGAGGAGAUGCCGCUUUUGAUCCUGCAAAUGGACUAUCACCCACACUGGUUUCUAUGCCAGGGUGGGAAGACUUACACCAGAAGCUUCCAUCUGAAGGUACACCUUUCGGGCUAUACAGGCGAGAAGCUCUACUAUUGAAACUCAGUUGCCUCUACCUUAUUAUUUAGUUUUUAUU
Molecule: long non-coding RNA, 1035 nt
Organism: Rhineura floridana
Lineage: Eukaryota; Metazoa; Chordata; Lepidosauria; Squamata; Rhineuridae
Exons: 3
Source: RefSeq, a predicted model, not a curated record